GGGGAUGUAGCUCAGCGGUAGAGCGCGUGCUUCGCAUGUACGAGGCCCCGGGUUCGAGCCCCGGCAUCUCCA
This 72-nucleotide transfer RNA is filed under the name Tauraco erythrolophus (red-crested turaco). It matches the Rfam family "tRNA". Rfam says of the family: Transfer RNA (tRNA) molecules are approximately 80 nucleotides in length. Their secondary structure includes four short double-helical elements and three loops (D, anti-codon, and T loops). The record is from Rfam by way of RNAcentral. Lineage: Eukaryota; Metazoa; Chordata; Aves; Musophagiformes; Musophagidae.